GACGAACGCUGGCGGCAUGCCUAAUACAUGCAAGUCGAGCGAACAGAUGAAGUGCUUGCUCUUCUGACGUUAGCGGCGAACGGGUGAGUAACACGUAAGGAAUCUACCUAUAAGCGGGGGAUAACAUUCGGAAACGGGUGCUAAUACCGCAUAAUAUCUUCUUCCGCAUGGAAGAAGAUUGAAAGACGGCUCUGCUGUCACUUAUAGAUGACCUUGCGGUGCAUUAGUUAGUUGGUGGGGUAAUGGCCUACCAAGACGAUGGUGCAUAGCCGAACGGAGAGGGUGAUCGGCCACAUUGGGACUGAGACACGGCCCAAACUCCUACGGGAGGCAGCAGUAGGGAAUCUUCCGCAAUGGGCGAAAGCCUGACGGAGCAAUGCCGCGUGAGUGAAGAAGGCCUUCGGGUCGUAAAACUCUGUUAUAAGAGAAGAACAAAUUGUAGAGUAACUGCUACAGUCUUGACGGUAUCUUAUCAGAAAGCCACGGCUAACUACGUGCCAGCAGCCGCCGUAA
This 513-nucleotide ribosomal RNA is filed under the name uncultured bacterium. RNAcentral's name for it is "partial 16S ribosomal RNA". It matches the Rfam family "Bacterial small subunit ribosomal RNA", at positions 28 to 523 of the family's 1533-position model. The record is from RNAcentral.